Molecule: unclassified non-coding RNA, 404 nt
Filed under: soil metagenome
Description: partial contains 5.8S ribosomal RNA, internal transcribed spacer 2, and large subunit ribosomal RNA
Rfam family: 5.8S ribosomal RNA (bases 1-121)
Source: RNAcentral
GAUGAAGAACGUAGCGAAAUGCGAUACUUGGUGUGAAUUGCAGAAUCCCGUGAACCAUCGAGUUUUUGAACGCAAGUUGCGCCCGAAGCCUUUGGCCGAGGGCACGUCUGCCUGGGCGUCACGCAUCGCGUCGCCCCCCACAAAUUCUCCGUCAGGGGAGCUUGUGUUUCGGGGGCGGAUACUGGUCUCCCGUGCUCAUGGCGCGGUUGGCCGAAAUAGGAGUCCCUUCGAUGGACGCACGAACUAGUGGUGGUCGUAAAAACCCUCGUCUUUUGUUUCGUGCCGUUAGUCGCGAGGGAAGCUCUUCAAAAACCCCAACGCGUCGUCUCUUGACGGCGCUUCGACCGCGACCCCAGGUCAGGCGGGACUACCCGCUGAGUUUAAGCAUAUCAAUAAGCGGAGGA